Molecule: ribosomal RNA, 506 nt
Filed under: uncultured bacterium
Lineage: Bacteria
Description: partial 16S ribosomal RNA
Source: RNAcentral
CACGUAGUUAGCCGGAGCUUUCUUGAAAGGUACCGUCACUCCUAAGUCAUUUCCUACUUAGUUCUUUCUUCCCUAACAACAGAAGUUUACAAUCCAUAGGACCGUCAUCCUUCACGCGGCAUUGCUCGUUCAGGGUUUCCCCCAUUGACGAAUAUUCCUAACUGCUGUCUCCCGUAGGAGUCUGGGCCGUGUCUCAGUCCCAGUGUGGCCGAUCACCCUCUCAGGUCGGCUACGCAUCGUCGCCUUGGUAAGCCAUUACCUCACCAACUAGCUAAUACGGCGCAGGCUCAUCUUCAAGCGAAGCUUUAAAGGCUCCUUUUAAUAUAAACAGACGCAUCUGCUUAUAUAUAAUUCGGCAUUAGCAAUCAUUUCUAAUUGUUAUUCCAAACUCGAAGGUAGAUUACCCACGUGUUACUCACCCUUGCGCCACUAGAUGGGAAUCCAUUUCCAAUUUUGUGCAAGCACUCCAUCUUCAUUGGGCCAUCUCGUUCGACUUGCAUGUCUUA